UACAGAGGGUGCAAGCGUUGCUCGGAAUUAUUGGGCGUAAAGGGGAGGUAGGUGGUCUCAUUUGUCUGGGGUGAAAUCCUUGAGCUUAACUCAAGAAGUGCCCUAGAAACGGUGAGACUGGAGUACUGGAGAGGGUCGUGGAAUUCCCGGUGUAGCGGUGAAAUGCGUAGAGAUCGGGAGGAACACCAGAGGCGAAGGCGGCGACCUGGACAGUUACUGACACUCAACUCCGAAAGCGUGGGGAGCAAACAGG
RNAcentral lists this ribosomal RNA (253 nucleotides) under uncultured bacterium. RNAcentral's name for it is "partial 16S ribosomal RNA". It matches the Rfam family "Bacterial small subunit ribosomal RNA", at positions 524 to 776 of the family's 1533-position model. The record is from RNAcentral.